Molecule: ribosomal RNA, 500 nt
Filed under: uncultured bacterium
Lineage: Bacteria
Description: partial 16S ribosomal RNA
Rfam family: Bacterial small subunit ribosomal RNA
Source: RNAcentral
AUUGAACGCUGGCGGCAGGCCUAACACAUGCAAGUCGAGCGGAUGACGGGAGCUUGCUCCUGGAUUCAGCGGCGGACGGGUGAGUAAUGCCUAGGAAUCUGCCUGGUAGUGGGGGACAACGUUUCGAAAGGAACGCUAAUACCGCAUACGUCCUACGGGAGAAAGCAGGGGACCUUCGGGCCUUGCGCUAUCAGAUGAGCCUAGGUCGGAUUAGCUAGUUGGUGAGGUAAUGGCUCACCAAGGCGACGAUCCGUAACUGGUCUGAGAGGAUGAUCAGCCACACUGGAACUGAGACACGGUCCAGACUCCUACGGGAGGCAGCAGUGGGGAAUAUUGGACAAUGGGCGAAAGCCUGAUCCAGCCAUGCCGCGUGUGUGAAGAAGGUCUUCGGAUUGUAAAGCACUUUAAGUUGGGAGGAAGGGUUGUAGAUUAAUACUCUGCAAUUUUGACGUUACCGACAGAAUAAGCACCGGCUAACUCUGUGCCAGCCGCCGCCGUAA